GGGCGUAAGCGGGUCGUAGGUGGUUCUGUUAAGUUGGAUGUGAAAGCCCCGGGCUCAACCUGGGAGCUGCAUCCGAAACUGGCGAGCUAGAGUAUGGCAGAGGGUGGUGGAAUUUCCCGUGUAGCGGUGAAAUGCGUAGAUAUGGGAAGGAACACCAGUGGCGAAGGCGACCCCCUGGUCUAAUACUGACACUGAGGUGCGAAAGCGUGGGGAGCAAACAGGAUUAGA
RNAcentral lists this ribosomal RNA (228 nucleotides) under Stutzerimonas stutzeri. RNAcentral's name for it is "partial 16S ribosomal RNA". It matches the Rfam family "Bacterial small subunit ribosomal RNA", at positions 556 to 782 of the family's 1533-position model. Lineage: Bacteria; Pseudomonadati; Pseudomonadota; Gammaproteobacteria; Pseudomonadales; Pseudomonadaceae. The record is from RNAcentral.